RNAcentral lists this transfer RNA (72 nucleotides) under Pediococcus acidilactici. RNAcentral's name for it is "tRNA-Asn". It matches the Rfam family "tRNA". Rfam says of the family: Transfer RNA (tRNA) molecules are approximately 80 nucleotides in length. Their secondary structure includes four short double-helical elements and three loops (D, anti-codon, and T loops). Lineage: Bacteria; Bacillati; Bacillota; Bacilli; Lactobacillales; Lactobacillaceae. The record is from RNAcentral.
GUAGAUGUAGCUCAAUGGAAGAGCACCUGACUGUUAAUCAGGAAGUCGCAGGUUCGAAUCCUGCCAUCUACG